RNAcentral lists this unclassified non-coding RNA (3944 nucleotides) under Hevea brasiliensis (rubber tree). The record is from RNAcentral. Lineage: Eukaryota; Viridiplantae; Streptophyta; Magnoliopsida; Malpighiales; Euphorbiaceae.
GAAAGAGCCUAGCAUUGCCAUACAAAAAAGUCCAAAUAUGACCGUCCUACACCUAUAUAUAAAAUAAUGAAUAAGCUUAGAUGCUAUAUCCCUUCCCCCUCCGAGAGGUCCUUCUUGAAAACUUCCAACAAAUCUUUGCAAGAAUUUCAACCUCUCUUUCCUUUUACAUUGCAAUUUUCAUACUUUAUCCUUUCACUCGUUUGGUGUGGAUUUGCUUUCCUUGAGACAACUUAUUGAGUCAUUUUCUUUGAUGUUUGUUUAAGUGAGGUUAUUAGCCUUAAUCUUGAAAUUAAGGCAACGGCUGAGUGUUCAGAGCUCAAGAAUGGAUUCUCAUGUGGAGAAGGUCUAUGUGAUUCUUGGGAAUGAUUUACAAGACGGAUUCAAGACUCUGGAUUGGGCACUUAGGAAAUGGAAACCCAAUCCAUUCUCUAUAGUCAUUCUUCAUGUGACUUGCAACAUUUCCAAGGACUUCGUUUACACCCCAUUUGGGAAGCUCCCUGCAAAUUCUGUGAGUGAAGAAAAGCUGCUAGUUCUUAGGAAGUAUGAGCAAGAAAAGAUAGAGAAAUUAAUCUCCAAGUACAUAUCUUUCUGUGGGAAGGUAAAGGCUGAAAUCUUGAAAGUAGAAAAAUCUGAUGAACCCAUUCAUAAAGUCAUAGUAGAUUUGAUCUCAAGACUCCAGAUAACCAAAUUGGUCAUGGGAUUAACAUUCAUGAAGUCUUCAUCAUGGAAAUCAAAGAAUGCAAUCAGUGGAUCAUUCUACAUCCACCAGCAUAAACCAAAUUUUUGCGAGUUCUUCAUAAUAUGUGGAGGGAAGUUGGUAUUGCUUAGAGGAGAAAGUGAAGAAGCAAUCAUGGAGGAUGAUCAAGGAGUCAAUGUUGCAAAAAGGGGUAAUAUAAAAACUUGGCUAGGAAAAAUGUUCACAGAAGGAAGAAAUUCUAGCCGCAUGUCUGCCUCAUCAAAAUGCCUAGAAUCAAAAAAUUCACAAAAUCAGUGGGAAAAUUGUGCCUUAGAGAUUCAUAAUUAUUAUGAGCAUUUGUUGUCUUUGAAUUUGGAUGAAGAGAUUUGCGAGGAAGAGAAUGAAAUUUUGCAGGCUGGUCCAUUGGAAGGAGUUGUGCAAGAUCCCACUGAUUCUACCAUGGUAAGCAAAUAUCAGAGAUAUUUUCUGCAGCAUGUGGCCAUAAUUCUCUUCUUUAUUCCAACAAGGAACUGAAUGUGGUCAUAAUCAGCCUUGUCUACUUAGGAAGUAAUGUCUAUGUUAAGCUUAACAAGUCUGCUUUAUUGAAAAUUUUCUUUCUAAUCCUUCUUUUCUAGGUAAAUAAAUGUUCACGUGACAGAUGUUUCUUGAUGUAUGGCCACAAGUAGUUUGGUUUAUUAGACAGUAAUUAUAGGUUUAGGUUCAGCCAGUCCACUUGGCCUACCAAACAUCUUCUUUCUGAUACAUCUUUUUUGACUCUAUGGUCUUGUCAUGAUACCCUUGGAAGUUUCCUGACAGUGAUGGGUUAAUAGAUAGAGGGUUGUUUGGAUGCUUGUUUCUCAAUGAUUAUUAUCAGAAUUAGUCUCUAUUCUGUUCUCGGAUAUGUGCAUUACAACUUGGAUUGUCCUCAAAGAUCAUUUUUAUUUACUAAUAAUUACAAUGGUUUUCUUACUCCUACCAAAAUGUCAGAGUGUGGCUUCGAAAAUGGAAGUCAUGAGGAGUAAAAUAGAUGACGCACAGAAAAUAAUCCAGUUGAAAAAGGAAGAGGCUAAGCUCAAUGCAGAAAGGUCUGCAAAAGCUGAAUGGGUUUUGAGUGUAUGCAAUAGCAGGGUGGAGGAGCUUGAAGCCAAGAUAAGAGAAGAGGUCACGACUCAAAUAGAGAUAAAGAAAUCAUUGGAUAAUGAGAAAGAGCAAAUUCAAGAAAUUAUGAGUGAUAUUGCAGAAAACGAGAAUAGACUAAACUCACUUCUUGAACUCAAAUCAGAGCUCUCCAACAAGCUCCAGUUAUCAACUUUGGCAAGAUCACAUGGAGAAGCUCAACUAGAGAAGGCAGUCCUUGCAAGAGCAGAAAUGGUGAGGGAGAUCGAAGAGCUAAGGCAACAAAGAGACGUUCUUCAACGUAGAAUUGAGUUUUGUAAAGAAAAAGAUGCAAUAGGAAUGGUAACAAAGCAUAACGAGAUAACUUGUGGCUACAGGGAGUAUACUGCAGAGGAUAUUAGAUUAGCAACAGAUGGUUUUUCAGAGAGUCUGAGAUUAAAAUCCAAUGGUGAUUGGACCAAUGUAUAUCGAGGACGUAUUCAUAAUUCAACUGUUGCAAUCAAAAUCCUCAAUUCUGAGACAGGAUUCUCCAGGGAAGAUUUUCUAGACAAGGUUAAGUUCCUGAAUAACAUCAGGCACCCUCAUUUGGUUGCCAUGGUGGGCUUCUGCUCCGAGCAAAAAUGCAUCAUUUUUGAAUACCUGCACAACGGUAGCCUAAGGGAGAUCUUGUUUUCCUCUGAAAGAAACAAUAAGAAAAGAGACCGGGUCCUCAGGUGGCGAGAUCGAAUCCGAAUAGCCCACGAGGUUUGUUCAGGUCUAGCCUUUCUACACUCGGCUAAGCCUAGGCCCAUUGUUCAUGGUCACUUGACCGCAUCCAACAUCCUCCUGGACCGCAAUCUAGUUGCUAAGAUAAGUGGGCUUGGGCUGAGCCAAUGCUACAAUGAAAAUUACGAUAUGCAUCCCGAUAUUCGAGCUUUUGGAGUUCUGUUAUUGCAUCUUCUGACUGGUAGAAAUUGGGCUGGGCCUUUGGAAGAUGCAAAAAUGGAUCGGUCGACCCUUGCUGGGGUUCUGGAUGAGAGGGCAGGACAAUGGCCGUUGGAUUUGGCUGAGGAACUCGUUGGGAUAGCAAUGAAGUGCAUGCCCUGUAACCUUAGGUCUGAUACAGAUUUCAGUAUAGCAACAGUAAUGGAAGAGCUUGAUAGGGCAAGGAAAAGGGCUGAUGAGACAGUUGCUAGAGGUAGAUGUGAGUCUUUUGUUAAAGGAGGUGUUGACAAAGAAGAGUCCAAUGAAGUACCUAGCAUUUUCGUCUGCCCUAUAUUGCAGGUAAGGCUUCAGUUUAAUAAAAAAUAAUUAUUUUUAAAACAAGUAUGACAGGUUCAAGGUUUCCAGAGAACAGACAAUCUGCAGCCCAUUCACCCACUGCAGACAACAAUGAAAACAAUAUUUAGUCCCAACGUUAGAGAUUGGAUGCAUCCAAUACUGAAAGCUUAUUACUAAGCCACAUGCUUGAUGGCGAUAAAAAAUAAUUUGAAAAUCACUUUUGAAAGCACAUUAUACUUCUAUAGUGAUGUUAUGUUGGAUUGUUGGGUGCAGGACGUAAUGAAGAGCCCACAUGUAGCAGCAGAUGGAUUUUCUUACGAGUUAGCAGCAAUAGAGGAAUGGCUGGGGACGGGACACGAUACUUCACCAAUGACAAACUUAAGGCUUAAGCACAAAUUCCUAACCCCUAAUCACACUCUUCGUUCCCUCAUCCAAGAAUGGCACAACAGGAAAUCCAAUGUGACCUCAUGAUAUGAUGACGAUGAUGAUGCAUUUGUUUUGCAGAUUACAAAUCAUAAUAAUUUAUAAUUCUUUGUUUCUUUUCAACAUGCAAGAAAAACAGCAGGGUUUAUAGCUACAAAGCUGUAGUUUGUGCAGGUUCAAGAUUUAUUUUGUAAAAAUUUAUUGAUAUCAACAUAAUUUAACACCCCUUUUAUCAGAAGUUCCUAUACUUAACCAAUUCUCAUUUUCUAAUCAAAGAAAAAACAAAUUUAUUCUGACAAAGUGGAGAGAGAGAGAGAGCUAUGAAGAGAGAGUUCAAGUACUCGGAACGUGUAAUUGUGCUUCUCUAGCAGAAGGUACAAAAACAAGUUCAAUAAUACAACAGAGGCUUUACCCAAAGCCAGAAAUACCUUCUUUUCAAAUAAUCUUUUGACUAUUGACAUAAUAUGAA